Molecule: transfer RNA, 72 nt
Filed under: Armillaria ostoyae
Lineage: Eukaryota; Fungi; Basidiomycota; Agaricomycetes; Agaricales; Physalacriaceae
Source: RNAcentral
UCGGAUAUGGUGUAACGGCUAUCAUCACCACCUAUCUCGCGGCAGCCCGGGGUUCGAUUCCCCGUAUCCGAA